RNAcentral lists this ribosomal RNA (539 nucleotides) under uncultured bacterium. RNAcentral's name for it is "bacterial SSU rRNA". It matches the Rfam family "Bacterial small subunit ribosomal RNA", at positions 777 to 1321 of the family's 1533-position model. The record is from RNAcentral.
AAUAGAUACCCAGGUAGUCCACGCCGUAAACGAUGGAUACUAGCUGUUUGGUAGUAAUACUGAGUGGCUAAGCGAAAGUGAUAAGUAUCCCACCUGGGGAGUACGAACGCAAGUUUGAAACUCAAAGGAAUUGACGGGGGCCCGCACAAGCGGUGGAGCAUGUGGUUUAAUUCGAUGAUACGCGAGGAACCUUACCAGGGCUUAAAUGUAGUUUGACGUAUUUGGAAACAGAUAUUUCUUCGGACAAAUUACAAGGUGCUGCAUGGUUGUCGUCAGCUCGUGCCGUGAGGUGUCAGGUUAAGUCCUAUAACGAGCGCAACCCCUGUUGUUAGUUGCCAGCGAGUAAUGUCGGGAACUCUAACAAGACUGCCAGUGUAAACUGCGAGGAAGGUGGGGAUGACGUCAAAUCAUCACGGCCCUUACGUCCUGGGCCACACACGUGCUACAAUGGACGGUACAGAGAGCAGCCACUUAGCAAUAAGGAGCGAAUCUAUAAAAACCGUUCUCAGUUCGGAUCGGAGUCUGCAACUCGACUCCGU